UUACGUGGGACGUAAAGCGUGCGCAGGUCGGUUUUAGUAAGACGAGGCGUAGAAACGUCCCCGGGCUACCAACCGUAGGGAACUGUCGUUUGUGACUGACGAAGGCUAGAGGUACGGCAGGAGGGGGGUGGAAUUCCACGUGUAGCAGUGAAAUGCGUAGAGAUGUGGAGGAACACCAAUGGCGAAGGCAGCCCCCUGGGUCGAUACUGACGCUCAUGCACGAAAGCGUGGGUAGCAAACAGGAUUAGAUACCCUGGUAGUCCACGCCCUAAACGAUGUCAACUAGGUGUUGGGUGGGUAAAACCAUUUAGUACCGGAGCUAACGCGUGAAGUUGACCGCCUGGGGAGUACGGCCGCAAGGUUAAAACUCAAAGGAAUUGACGGGGACCCGCACAAGCGGUGGAUGAUGUGG
This 412-nucleotide ribosomal RNA is filed under the name uncultured bacterium. Its description in RNAcentral is "bacterial SSU rRNA". It matches the Rfam family "Bacterial small subunit ribosomal RNA", at positions 547 to 944 of the family's 1533-position model. The record is from RNAcentral.